AACCUGAACUUCCACUGGUGCAACUUGAGGCUAUUACCUCUCAUCCGAUUGCUGUCGCCUAGAAGAGGCCAAUCCCCACCUCACCACAACCUCCUUUCAGGACUUCCUGUCCUCAGGAGAAGGAUUUUCUCCUUUCCUACCAUUCAAAAGUUGGAUUUUUUUAAUGUUUGGGUUUUUUUUUUCCCCAAAGUUCAAGCCUGGUCCAAACAGAACAUUUUGUUUUCUUCAAAAAUCAAUUUGUUAACUCAACGUACAACUGUGUUCCAGUAGGCAUUGUACUCUCCACUGAAUUUUACAGUAUUCCUGCUAAAUACGAGCUGGUCUACUGAGAGAACAUGAAGACCUCUGUGGCACGCCAGGUAUUACAGCUCUAAUCAUUUCAGGGAAGAACAGAAGGAUUCACCUGCCAGGGCCAGCUGUAUGGUCUUGCAUUUUCUCCUCCAACAACUCGAGACACAGCAGGUGGGUAGGCAGGAACCCCGCAGCCAAGGGCUGGAAAACAUACAAAGAUUUGUGUUUUAAAAGUAGGAACUGAAAAAGAAUUCUGUAAGAGAGGUUGGGUUGGUUGGUUUUUGUUCUUAUGGUUUGUUUGUUGAUUUAAUAUAGACUGUGCUUGUAUGGAACGUUGAAAGGCAGAGAUACAGCCUACAAUUGGAUGUAAUACAGGUGAAGAUACAGCCAUCAGUCAAGGCUGAGCAAUGUUAUAUAAAGCCUAUUUGUUUUCUGGCAGGUAAUCAAAUCAUGUUGGCUCAACCAAAUUCUCAUGAAUCAACUGAGAUGCAGCUCGUAGCAGAUGCAAAGCAAUCUGGCAUGGAUUGACUGUGUUACAGAGCAUUCAAGCUAAGUAAAAUAACUUCUAAGUAAAAUAACAGGCUGAGAGCAGUGGUGCUCCUUGAACUUCUGUGAUAUGAACAGAAUAACUUAGUACCUAGCUGCCAUUCUGAACCUUUUAUUUAACAAAAGCAAUUAAUUAAUUGUCUUAUUCUGCUUAAAAAAAAAAUAAUAAUAGGAAAGCUGCUAUUAGAUUUUAAUUCAUUUUUUCUUUAGAACUGGUAUUGAAAUUGAGAACAUACCUGCAGCUGCCAGAGUCAGCACAGCAAAGAGGAUUCCAAGCAUGAUGCCGGGUAACUGCAUGCUGUGGGCUCUGCUUCACAGCUUGUUUUAUACCUCACCUCCUGGAGACGUGAACCAAGUUGCGUUGUGUUUCAGCAUGCCAUCCUUCCUCAGUAAAACCAACUGCAAUUGCUUGGGAGCAGAUGUUACAAGGAGUACAGAGAACAAACUGUCUGUGAUGAUGGAGGAUGAUGCAGCAUGAAUACGUUGUCCCACCAAAACAAUGCUUUACGUGGUUGGACUGGAUGAUCUUGGAGGUCUUUUCCAACUUGGUCUAGUCUGAAUAGGCUGAAGUAUCUUUCUUGGGCUCAGUGGACGUCGUAUGUUAGCAGCUCUGCUGUCGUACGUCAAAAACCUCAUCCCAAACCAUGAUGGCUUUGGAAACAGCUCCUGUCUUCGUGCUGGAUGUUUCACAGAACCUACACAGCUCACGGGGCUUCAGUAAGAAAGAGCACAGGUACUUCCAGCGUGUUGUUAAAGCAUAAUAGCUAAUAACUCUGUCCGUGUGAUAAUGUACAAUUUAUUAGGUAGUCCAUUGGACGGAUCCGUGAUCCAUUUAUGAGCGUUCUUCAAACCUAAGCUUAGUCUGCACACCUCCAAAAAGAACAAUGUUACCUGGAGCCCAGGGAAUGAAGAUUAAUGUUUCUGUUAUUGUGCUUUCCAUCUUCUGCCUUUAAAUUGCCUGUUUCCAGCUUGGACACAUUUGUAUUUUGUUUCCUAAGCUGUAUUUUUUUUUAAAUCCAAGCACUUGUGUAGCUGAUGUAAUGUAAGGCUUGAAUGUAAUGUAAGGCUUGUCCUAACUGAGCAGAGAGCAAGGGAAGGAGAGAACAGAGACCACAUAAACCCACACUUCAGCGAUCAGGUUAGAUUCAGAAAUAUUUAUUUAGAAACAACAGCUUUGGUAUUUUAAAACCAAACAACCUUUAAACCACUAGAAAGUGAGAUGUCUCCCCCCACAGCCAAAACAAAUGAAUGCUCAAAGCCUCAGUAUGUUCAGAAGAGGAAACCUGCAGAUCAGCAUUUUUAAGUCCAGAAAACAGUUUCUUUAAACUGAUUUUGCACUCUACAAUCAUAAAGGCUGAAAAGACAUUACCUGCAAUUAGAUAUCUACAGUUCAACUGACUGUCUCGUUACUGAACUGGAGGCAAAAUUAUUAACAUCCUCCCCCACCCUCAAGCAAUAAAUUAAAAAACACCAGAAAUGAAGUUAUGCUGAAAUUUUCUAGUUAAUUUAACUCU
Long non-coding RNA from Centrocercus urophasianus (Greater sage-grouse), 2351 nucleotides. RefSeq lists it as uncharacterized. The transcript is spliced from 4 exons. Lineage: Eukaryota; Metazoa; Chordata; Aves; Galliformes; Phasianidae. The record is from RefSeq and is a predicted model, not a curated record.